RNAcentral lists this ribosomal RNA (729 nucleotides) under Triticum aestivum (bread wheat). RNAcentral describes it as "partial small subunit ribosomal RNA". Lineage: Eukaryota; Viridiplantae; Streptophyta; Magnoliopsida; Poales; Poaceae. The record is from RNAcentral.
AUGGCCGCCGGCCUGGAUAGUCUUCCGCUCCCUGAAGCUAGGCAAUGGCCGCCGACCAGCAUGCGCACUCUCUCAGCAGCACACACUACACACACAGCCUCUACCGCUAUAUAUACAGCCAUUGCUGCGCUCCUAAGAUCCAUCCAAGCAUCCAACUACAACAAGUCCCAUCCACCACACUUCACACUUGCUACUCACACCACACACAAAUCAAUCAGCUUCCGGCAAGGUUCGAGUUCAAUGGAGGGAGGUGGCGUCGGCAAGGCGGGCUCGGCGGAGGACAGCGCUGCGAGGCGGGCUCAGGAGUGUCACAUGUGCCGCAUCUGCAAGAGGGGCUUCACCACCGCCCAGGCGCUCGGAGGGCACAUGAACGUCCACCGCCGCCGCGAGGCCGAGGCCGAGGCACCGCCGGCUGGCGCUCAAGUCGACGGUGGCCGCGCCGGUGGGUCGCAGAAGGCAGGUCCCGGGGGCGAGGGCAACGACGAGGUGGACUUGGAGCUGAGGCUCUGGACGUCCUUCUUCUUUAUUUUCCGUGUAAAUAUGUGUGUGGACAUACGUGGUCAACGUAGUGUACAUACUGUAGAAAGCAUUGUGAUUCACCGCGUCAGCUAUAUCCAGCUCUCUGGCUGGAUCACCGCCCCUAAGAGAGAAGAAAACCCAUUCUGGUUGCGAAACAAUACCAAAUUACACGCCUCCACAACACGCAGGUGCUCAAAAGACAGGGCUUAA